Molecule: long non-coding RNA, 1198 nt
Organism: Homarus americanus (American lobster)
Lineage: Eukaryota; Metazoa; Arthropoda; Malacostraca; Decapoda; Nephropidae
Exons: 7
Source: RefSeq, a predicted model, not a curated record
CUCCUGGCCACACACGACUGAAGUGGACAGCUAAGCCCACACCUGCUGCUGCUACUGCUCUGUGACGACAUAGUUCAGGAUGCUACGAAUUGUGUUAAUGAUGAUGGUGGUGGUGGUGGGGACAGCUCGGCGACGAUCGCUUCACCAAUAGAUAUGCCUACAUGAAGGUCACAGAAGACUGCCUCGGGAAAGUCAAAGCUUACAAUUGGAGGAGAAGCAUUUCACAGGCAGUCAAGGCUUGUUAUGGUGAACAAAUCUCUUCCUCCCUCACCAAGAAGCAAAUCAAAAGAAUUCAUUCACGCGAUCCGACAUUGUACAGGAUACUGGCAACCUAGCAAACGUACCCAGUCCGUUCUUAACCACCAACACCCAGGCAGCCUAUAAACCCAUGUUUUGCCCUCAACAAAUUGGGCAGCUGGGCCAACGGGGGUACCAAUUCGUCUUCCCCUCUGUUCGACAGGUAAGGCAGACAAAUGAACCAUUGUACGACCUUACAGUCAUGGAGAACAUCGUCAACAAGGCGAAGGCUAAAAUGAGCAACUUUACCUGUUCGAUGAAAAAGAUGGGAUAUCUGGACAAUGAGUUCAACCUAAGAUUCGACUACAUAAAAAAACAUAUUGAAAAUUUUAACCUGAAUACCCAGCUUACUAAGGACCUGCAUGGCAACAUUGACAAGUGCAAGCAAAUUUUGGAGGUUACCCGAGGACAACACAACACCACUCUCCCCCAAGUUACAGCGAAUCUUGACUUUCAUCCAGUGUGAGAGGAAGACUCGGCUCGCUGUCUGUUUUAAGCAUGACUUGAAGAAAUUCCUCGAAAACUUUGACCUCACCAAUUACCCUUACUACAAUCAAGAUGAUGAUAGAGCUGCCAGUUUCUUGCUUGAAGUCUUUUGGGGUGUUGAUUCUGAAUUAAAGUUGUAUUAGUCAGUCACUCAACAGUAUAGGAUGCCCCUAGAGGCCCUCCACACAGCAUUGGUUACCCCCAGAGUAUAGGUUGCUCCCCACUGGCCCCCCCACAGUAUACAAUAGGUAUACCCCCAGAGAUCCUCCACACAGCAUAGGUUGCCCCUCAAUAAGUCACCCACAGCGAGGUUACUUUUAAGAUGUAGUAUUGUUCAUAGGAUUUAUUUCUCUUUUUUUUGGUGUAUGGAUAAUGAAUAAUUUGUCUGUCUUGUGACAUUAAACAAAUGGUAAUA